Molecule: ribosomal RNA, 395 nt
Filed under: uncultured bacterium
Lineage: Bacteria
Description: bacterial SSU rRNA
Rfam family: Bacterial small subunit ribosomal RNA
Source: RNAcentral
GUGUCAGCAGCCGCGGUAAUACGAGGGGUCCAAGCGUUGCUCGGAAUCAUUGGGCGUAAAGCGAGUGUAGGUGGCUUUGUAAGUCAGUAGUGAAAGCCCCAGGCUUAACCUGGGAAGUGCUAUUGAUACUGCGAAGCUUGAAUGUGGGAGAGGAUCGUGGAAUUCCAGGUGUAGUGGUGAAAUACGUAGAUAUCUGGAGGAACACCGGUGGCGAAGGCGGCGAUCUGGCCCAACAUUGACACUGAGACUCGAAAGUGCAGGGAUCAAACAGGAUUAGAUACCCUGGUAGUCUGCACCGUAAACGAUGGAUACUUGGUGUUGGAGGUAUUGACCCCUUCAGUGCCGAAGCUAACGCGUUAAGUAUCCCGCCUGGGAAGUACGGCCGCAAGGUUAAA